GGUUCGAUUAUGGCUCAGAUUGAACGCUGGCAGGAUACUUUACACAUGCAAGUCGAACGGCAGCACGGACUUCGGUCUGGUGGCGAGUGGCGAACAGGUGAGUAAUGUAUCGGAACGUGCCCUGUGCCCGGGGGAUAACUACGCGAAAGCGUAGCUAAUACCGCAUACGCCCUUCGGGGAAAGCGGGGGACCUUCAGGCCUCACUAUUAGAGCGGCCGAUAUCGGAUUGGCCUAGUUGGUGGGAGUAACUGGCUCGCAAGGCGACGAUCCGUAGCUGGUUUGGGGGGACGACCAGCCACACUGGGACUGAGACACGGCCCGAACUCCUACGGGAGGCAGCAGUGGGGAAUUUUGGACAAUGGGAAGCCUGAUCAGCCAUCCCGCGUGUGCGAUGAAGGCCUUCGGGUUGUAAAGCACUUUUGGCAGGAAAAGAAACGGCACGGGAUAAUACCCCGUGCAACUGACGGUACAGAAUAAGCACCGGCUAACUACGUGCCAGCAACCGCGGUAAUACAUGAGGUGCAAGCGUUAAUCGGAUACUGGGCGUAAAGCGUGCGCGGGCGGUUCGGAAAGAAAAGAUGUGAAAUCCCAGAGCUUAACUUUGGAACUGCAUUUUUAACUACCGAGCUAGAGUGUCAGAGGGAGGUGGAAUUCCGCGUGUAGCAGUGAAAUGCGUAGAUAUGCGGAGGAGACACCGAUGGUGAAGCAGCCUCCUGGGAUAACACUGACGCUCAUGCACGAAAGCGUGGGGAGCAAACAGGAUUAGAUACCCUGGUAGUCCACGCCCUAAACGAUGUCAACUAGCUGUUGGGGCCUUCGGGCCUUGGUAGCGCAGCUAACGCGUGAAGUUGACCGCCUGGGAAGUACGGUCGCAAGAUUAAAACUCAAAAUUGACGAGGACCCGCACAAGCGGUGGAUGAUGUGGAUUAAUUCGAUGCAACGCGAAAAACCUUACCUACCCUUGACAUGUCUGGAAUCCCGAAGAGAUUUGGGAGUGCUCGCAAGAGAACCGGAACACAGGUGCUGCAUGGCUGUCGAUGGCUCGUGUCGUGAGAUAUUGGGUUGAUCCCGCAACAGGCGCAACCCUUGUCGUGGAUUGCUACGAAAGGGCACUCUAAUGAGACUGCCGGUGACAAACCGGAGGAAGGUGGGGAUGACGUCAAGUCCUCAUGGCCCUUAUGGGUAGGGCUUCAUCAUACAAUGGUCCGGGACAGAGGGUCGCCAACCCGCGAGGCCAAUCCCAGAAACCCGAUCGUAGUCCGGAUCGCAGUCCACCAACUCGACUGCGUGAAGUCGGAAUCGCUAGUAAUCGCGGAUCAGCAUGUCGCGGUGAAUACGUUCCCGGGUCUUGUACACACCGCCCGUCACACCAUGGGAGUGGGUUUGCAGAAGUAGUCAGCCUAACCGUAAGGAGGCCGAACUGCUGCAGUAGGAUUCAUGACUGGGGUGAAGUCGUAACAAAGGUAG
RNAcentral lists this ribosomal RNA (1467 nucleotides) under uncultured Bordetella sp. RNAcentral describes it as "partial 16S-23S ribosomal RNA intergenic spacer". It matches the Rfam family "Bacterial small subunit ribosomal RNA". The record is from RNAcentral. Lineage: Bacteria; Pseudomonadati; Pseudomonadota; Betaproteobacteria; Burkholderiales; Alcaligenaceae.